Molecule: ribosomal RNA, 120 nt
Filed under: Rosa chinensis
Lineage: Eukaryota; Viridiplantae; Streptophyta; Magnoliopsida; Rosales; Rosaceae
Source: RNAcentral
GGGUGCGAUCAUACCAGCAAUAACGCUCCGGAUCCCAUCAGAACUCCGAAGUUAAGCUUGCUUGGGCGAGAGUAGUACUAGGAUGAGUGACCUCCUAGGAAGUCCUCGUGUUGCACCCUU